GACGAACGCUGGCGGCGUGCCUAAUACAUGCAAGUCGAACGCAGUGGGGACGGGUGAGUAACACGUGGGUAACCUCCCAUCAGAGGGGAUAACACUUGGAAACAGGUGCUAAACCCCUAUUGAUGGAUGUACCCGCGGUGCAUUAGCUAGCUGGUGAGGUAACGGCUCACCAAGGCGACGAUGCAUACCGGACAGGAGAGGGGGAUCGGCCAAACGGGGACUGAGAAACGGACCAGAAUCAUACGGGAGGCAGCAGAAGGGAAACUUCGGCAAUGGAAGAAAGUCUGACCAGGCAACGCCGCAAGAGUGAGGAAGGUGUUCGGAUCGUAAAACUCUGUUGUUAGAGAAGCGGUAACUAACCAGAAAGCCACGGCUAACUACGUGCCAGCAGCCGAGGUAAUUC
This 403-nucleotide ribosomal RNA is filed under the name uncultured bacterium. RNAcentral describes it as "partial 16S ribosomal RNA". It matches the Rfam family "Bacterial small subunit ribosomal RNA", at positions 28 to 526 of the family's 1533-position model. The record is from RNAcentral.